GUCUAUGGCCAUGCUACCCUGAACACACCCUAUCCUGUCUGAUCUUGGAAGCUAAGCAGGGUCAGGCCUGGUUAGUACUUGGAUGGGAGACUACCUAGGAAGAUCAGGUGCUGUAGGCA
RNAcentral lists this ribosomal RNA (119 nucleotides) under Pteropus alecto (black flying fox). The record is from RNAcentral. Lineage: Eukaryota; Metazoa; Chordata; Mammalia; Chiroptera; Pteropodidae.